UGGUCUGAGAGGAUGGUCAGCCACACUGGGACUGAGACACUGCCCAGACUCCUACGGGAGGCUGCAGUCGAGGAUCAUUUACAAUGCGCGGAAGCGUGAUAAUGCGACGCUGCGUGGAGGAUGAAGGCCUUCGGGUCGUAAACUCCUGUCAUUCGGGAAAAACUGUCCCUGUAUUAAUAGUGCAGGGGCGUGAUGGUACCGAAAGAGGAAGCCACGGCUAACUCUGUGCCAGCAGCCGCGGUAAUACAGAGGUGGCGAGCGUUGUUCGGAUUUACUGGGCGUAAAGGGUGUUAGGUGGUAACGUGUGUCGGGUGUGAAAGUCCGCGGCUCAACCGCGGAAGUGCAUCCGAAACUGCGUAACUAGAGUGCAGGAUGGGAGAGCGGAAUUCUUGGUGUAGCGGUGAAAUGCGUUGAUAUCAAGAAGAACACCGGUGGCGAAGGCGGCUCUCUGGAAUGCAACUGACACUGAGGCACGAAAGCUGGGGGAGCAAACAGGAUUAGAUACCCUGGUAGUCCCAGCCGUAAACGGUGCGCACUUGGUGUAGGGGGUAUUGACCCCCCCUGUGCCGGAGUUAACGCGUUAAGUGCGCCGCCUGGGGAGUACGGCCGCAAGGCUAAAACUCAAAGAAAUUGACGGGGGCCCGCACAAGCGGAGGAGCAUGUGGCUUAAUUCGAUGCAACGCGAAGAACCUUACCAGGGCUUGACAUGGGGACCCUUCGGGGGUGCCGGCGAAAGCUGGCUUUACCAUCACAGGUGCUGCAUGGCUGUCGUCAGUUCGUGCCGUGAGGUGUUGGGUUAAGUCCCGCAACGAACGCAACCCUUGUGCUUAGUUGCCACCACAGGUGAUGAGCCUGUGAGCACUCUAAGCAGACUGCCCGUACAAGCGGGAGGAAGGUGGGGACGACGUCAAGUCAGUAUGGCCCUUACGUCCUGGGCUGCACACGUGCUACAAUGGUCGGUACAAAAGGACGCAAGUCCGCGAGGUGGAGCAAAUCCUGAAAACCGGCCUCAGUUCGGAUUGGAGUCUGCAACUCGACUCCAUGAAGUCGGAUUCGCUAGUAACGGCGUAUCAGCAACGGCGCCGUGAAUACGUUCCCGGGCCUUGUACACACCGCCCGUCACAUCAUGAAAGCCGUCUGCACCCGAAGUCGCUGAGCUAAUCUGUCAUUAGAUGGAAGGCAGGCGCCGAAGGUGUGGGUGGUGAUUGG
Molecule: ribosomal RNA, 1209 nt
Filed under: metagenome
Description: bacterial SSU rRNA
Rfam family: Bacterial small subunit ribosomal RNA
Source: RNAcentral